This 741-nucleotide ribosomal RNA is filed under the name Triticum aestivum (bread wheat). RNAcentral's name for it is "partial small subunit ribosomal RNA". Lineage: Eukaryota; Viridiplantae; Streptophyta; Magnoliopsida; Poales; Poaceae. The record is from RNAcentral.
AUGGACGCGAUGAGCAGCGCGGUGUUGCAGGGGGCGUGGAGGAAGGGGCCAUGGACGGCGCUGGAGGACCGGCUGCUGACCGAGUACGUGCAGCAGCAGGGCGAGGGCAGCUGGAACUCCGUCGCCAAGCUCACCGGGCUGCGGCGGAGCGGCAAGAGCUGCCGGCUGCGGUGGGUGAACUACCUCCGGCCGGACCUGAAGCGGGGCAAGAUCACCGCCGACGAGGAGACCGUCAUCCUCCAGCUCCACGCCAUGCUCGGCAACAGGUGGUCGGCGAUCGCGCGGUGCCUGCCGGGGAGGACGGACAACGAGAUCAAGAACUACUGGCGGACGCACUUCAAGAAGGCGCGGCCGUCCAGGCGGGCCAGGGCGCAGCUGCUGCACCAGUACCAGCUCCAGCAGCAGCAGCAGCACCGCCAGUACCUCCACGCGCUGCACCUCCUCCAGCAGCAGCAGCAGCAGAUGCAGAUGCAGCUACAGGAGAAUCACCACCACCAGCAGCAGCAGCAGGCGAUGAUGAUGGCGCAGCAGAGCCCGCCGGAGGAGGACCAGGCCGUGAUCACCGCCGUCGGCAACAUGAACAGCAUGGAGACUGCAGAGUGCUACUGCCCGUGCCCGGCGGCGUCGGCGGUGCUCGACCUCCCGCUCCCGGCCGACGACGAGGACGCGCUGUGGGACAGCCUCUGGCGGCUCGUCGACGGCGAGGACGGCUCCAGCGGAGGCGACUCAGGCGAGUACUAG